RNAcentral lists this transfer RNA (72 nucleotides) under Scleropages formosus (Asian bonytongue). Its description in RNAcentral is "tRNA-Arg". The record is from RNAcentral. Lineage: Eukaryota; Metazoa; Chordata; Actinopteri; Osteoglossiformes; Osteoglossidae.
AGCUGCUAGGGUAGUGUUAGCGCUACUGCCUUCGGACCUGAAGGUUGUAGGUUUGAGCCCUACCUGUGGCUG